CUGGCGGCGUGCCUAACACAUGCAAGUCGAACGAGAAAGUGGAGCAAUCCAUGAGUAAAGUGGCGACCGGGUGAGUAACACGUGACUAACCUGCCUUUGAGUGGGGGAUAACCUCGGGAAACCGGGGCUAAUACCGCAUAAUGCCUACGGGUUAAAGGAGCAAUUCGCUUGAAGAGGGGGUCGCGGCUGAUUAGCUAGUUGGCGGGGUAACGGCCCACCAAGGCGAUGAUCGGUAGCCGGCCUGAGAGGGCGCACGGCCACACUGGAACUGAAACACGGUCCAGACUCCUACGGGAGGCAGCAGUGGGGAAUUUUGCGCAAUGGGAGAAACCCUGACGCAGCAACGCCGCGUGGAGGAUGAAGUCCUUUGGGACGUAAACUCCUUUCGACCGGGACGAUAAUGACGGUACCGGUGGAAGAAGCCCCGGCUAACUUCG
RNAcentral lists this ribosomal RNA (437 nucleotides) under uncultured bacterium. RNAcentral's name for it is "bacterial SSU rRNA". It matches the Rfam family "Bacterial small subunit ribosomal RNA", at positions 36 to 505 of the family's 1533-position model. The record is from RNAcentral.